RNAcentral lists this non-coding RNA (131 nucleotides) under Patulibacter medicamentivorans. Lineage: Bacteria; Bacillati; Actinomycetota; Thermoleophilia; Solirubrobacterales; Patulibacteraceae. The record is from RNAcentral.
AAGGGAAGUCCGGUGAGAACCCGGCGCGGACCCGCCACUGUGAGCGCGAAGACCCGCCGCACGCACGCGUGCAGCCACUGGGAUCCGUCCCGGGAAGGCGCGGCGGCUCGGACGCGCGAGCCAGGAGACCU